This 369-nucleotide long non-coding RNA is filed under the name Elaeis guineensis (African oil palm). Its description in RNAcentral is "long non-coding RNA (EGUI_LNC009008)". Lineage: Eukaryota; Viridiplantae; Streptophyta; Magnoliopsida; Arecales; Arecaceae. The record is from RNAcentral.
CACUGUAUUAGAAAUAUAGGUAAUCUGACAUCAAAGUACAGUGAGUUGCUUGCAAGUCAUCUUGGUAAUCUUAGUUCGGAGGGAUACUUAUGCCCAUAUCUUUCAUGAGCUGUCCUUGAUAGCAGAGUACUCUAUAGGUCAGUCACUAUUUAAUGACGAUAUACUUCUACAUCUCACCUGUAUGUCGUACCAAUAUCUCCAUACUCCUUGGUUAAGAGAAUAAUCAAUCCAUAUGGCACACAACAACCUAUACUCGAUAAACGUUAUUAUCCUUAUUAAUAACAUAUUAUUUGAUUGUGAAUAAGUUUAAGAACUAUUCGAUAAAUCCUCUUUUAUCGAUUAUAUUAGAGUUCUAAGGACUUCAUCAUA